UUUGUGAGAACGGGAGGGAGAGCACAGCCAAUAAACGAGCGAGCCCAGCCCCGGAAGUUUGCGUCACCAGUUUGAGCUUCGAUCGGGGACGAUACAUUAAGUGCAGAAUGUUUGUGAUGCUUUAAUAAUUAAACGCGUAAUAUAAGAAAAAAAUUCUUACUGUUGCAACAUAUAAUCUGCCUCGGAAAUCUCAUGCGAGAGCAGAAAACUAAUUUAAGCGGCAUAUAUUUUGGUUUAGUCCGCUAGGUGGUAUCGCGCAAGCCAAAACAAAUUGGCGGGAGCGCGCAGUUCAAUUGCAAAAUCGCUCUUCGUCGGUUGCAAAAUGUCGUCUCACAAGAACGUCAGGCUUGGCCCUCACGUGUCGCCACACCAACGUGAACUGUUGGUGGCGUUCAUGGAGGGCCAUCCGUACCUUGUGCGGACAUCAUGCGCACUCACACCGGAGUGCACGGUGGAGCGGAGGCGGCAGCUUUGGAGUGAGCUCGCCGCCCUGCUGAACACAGAGGGCCCGGCCGCCAAGACAGCCGAACAGUGGCAAGUGUUUUGGCGGAAGGAAGUAUUUCUUUCCCGCCGAGAUGCCGCCGCAGCUUCCGCAAGUUAAAGGUGAGUGCGAGGAGCGGUUCUGUUGCUCGCGAUAUUUACAAUGCUGUCCGUAAUUGCAGCGGCACGGGUGGAGGCCGUCUGCCCGGCCUUCGUGGCCGUGUCAUCGCCUUAGUGGGCACCUCCACGGUGACCGGAGUGUGCGAGCCCUUCUACCAACCGCUCGACGAGCCCGCCAUGGAGGUGACCGUCCAAACGCAAUCUGUGGGCACCACCGCUGGAACAAGCGGCCUUUCACGUGAAGGAGCACUGCAGCAGCCAGGAGUGGUCCCUGUUGAGCCACUGCCCCGAAGCCCUCCAGCCACUGCACAGCCUGCAGCUGGCCCUGGCGGAGCGAG
Molecule: non-coding RNA, 938 nt
Organism: Dermacentor andersoni
Lineage: Eukaryota; Metazoa; Arthropoda; Arachnida; Ixodida; Ixodidae
Source: RefSeq, a predicted model, not a curated record